UACAGAGGGGGCAAGCGUUGUUCGGAAUUACUGGGCGUAAAGGGCGCGUAGGCGGCCUUCUAAGUCAGACGUGAAAUCCCCGGGCUCAACCCGGGAACUGCGUCUGAUACUGGAAGGCUUGAAUCCGGGAGAGGGAUGUGGAAUUCCAGGUGUAGCGGUGAAAUGCGUAGAUAUCUGGAGGAACACCGGUGGCGAAGGCGGCAUCCUGGACCGGUAUUGAUGCUGAGGCGCGAAAGCCAGGGGAGCAAACGGG
Molecule: ribosomal RNA, 253 nt
Filed under: uncultured bacterium
Lineage: Bacteria
Description: partial 16S ribosomal RNA
Rfam family: Bacterial small subunit ribosomal RNA
Source: RNAcentral